This 108-nucleotide ribosomal RNA is filed under the name Diaphorina citri (Asian citrus psyllid). The record is from RNAcentral. Lineage: Eukaryota; Metazoa; Arthropoda; Insecta; Hemiptera; Psyllidae.
ACCAGCGGUGAUAUCACGUUGAAUGUACUAGUGGAUCAUUGAAGUUAAGCAACGUAGUGCGUGGUUAGUAUCCGGGUGGGUGACUAUCUGGGCGUUGGCAUGCUGGCU